This is a long non-coding RNA of Equus caballus (horse), 3036 nucleotides long. The record is from Ensembl. Lineage: Eukaryota; Metazoa; Chordata; Mammalia; Perissodactyla; Equidae.
CUUUUCCAAUUUUCUUCUUGUAGUUAAUUUCUAGUUUCAUACCAUUGUGAUCAGAAAAGAUACUUAGCAUUAUUUCAAUCUUCUUAAAUUUAUUGAGACUUGUUUUGUGGCCUAACAUGUAGUCUAUUUUGGAGAGUGUUCCAUGUGCAUUUGAAAAGAAUGUGUAUUCUGCAGUUUUCGGAUAGAAUGUUCUACAUAUAUCUACUAAGUCCAUCUGAUCUAAUGUGUCAUUUCAGGCCAACGUUUCCUUGUUGAUGUUCUGUUUGGAUGUUUGGAUGACCUAUCCAUUGAUAGCAGUCCAACAAAACUACCUUGGGAAGCAGUGAACUCUCCAUUGAUAGAACUGUUUACAGAAGAGGGAUGACUAUCUACCAAAGAAGAGGGAGAGCAGUGAAUCCUACACUUUGCUGCUUCCAAACCACCUCAGGACCUUCAAUAAAAAGUACGAAUUCCAAAUCACCGCUCUACAACUUCUGGACCAGGUAUCUUCAUACACCUUGAAGGGCCACAGAGUCAUCCUUGCUCCCUGACUAAUGCUUGAAACAUCCCUCUUCGAGGUUUAUGCUGUGCCUUCACAGGAUGGUCCCCGAAACAAGAUGAAAAAGACAAGUUACCCCAGAGGAACCCAGAACCAAAGACUUGAGAGGGAAAAGAAGUGACCCUGUCUCAACUGGCUGCAGUGAUGGGAAGGCAGCAUUGAUGUGAAGGCAAAUAGAAGAAUUUAUGCUUUAUUUCUGAAGAUUUUGGAAGGCUUUGCUUUUUGUUCAGAAAGUGUGGUAAAGUAACUGUACAUUUACAGAAAGCUCUGCCAACCAUCACAUUGAAACGAAAUAGAAAAUCUCAGCUGUGCUACAACUAAGAAAGGUCCCUAAUCUCACACUACAAUCUCUGAAAAAUAUCUGUAAGAUGCAAUUUUAUUUUUAUCAAAUUGAAUCUGGCCUGAAGUUGACAAAGAACAACUCUCCUUAAGAUCAAAGUUGAACCUAGUGUGGGGAAAAGGAUAAUGAUUUCUGAAGGCCCCCAGUAAUAUCUCUGUGAUUGGAGGUAAUGAGACUGGAACAUAAAUAGGCCACAUAAAGGGCAGGGAAAAAAUUUAGUUCGUUUCAAUUUUACAGAUUAGCAGAGAUGGUGGGGCAAGGAGAGAAACAGCACGAACAUACUUUACCAUUGUCUUCUCUGGUCCAGCUUCCAAACAGGAGAGAUGAUAUAUGGACGUGAGCUGACUUUUCAGCAAUAGGCCCAAUUCAGGAGAAAUUAUACAGCUAUCCACCAAAAAGAAGAAGGAGAUGAUUCAUUGCUACUCAUCUUCUCACCAAAGUGGGCAACUGACAAGUGACUAUGUGCUGAAAUCCAAGACGUGGACGUUCCCCAAACUUGAAAGCAUAAAGCAUACGCUAAAAAACAGUGAAGAUGUUCCUGCGUUCACGGAGAAACUCAGAAACAGAACUCCACAGUCGAAUAUUCCCCAAGCCCCAGAAAUUUCCUCUCAGAUAAAUUCUUCAUCCAACAUCCAACUUUUCACUCAAUUCCUAAGGGAGGAGGCUGAAGGGACUUUUUGAGUUAAUAAGGAAGACAGUCAAAAAUAUCCCUCCUAUACUAUUUUGGGGAAAAUAGCCAGCUGAGUGGGAAUUGCCCCAUUCAAAGAGAAUGAAGGAGAAAUUUAUCAGCCUGUGGUCUAUGCAUAGUCGUAAAGUAAAAAAAAAAAAAAAAAAAAAAAAAAAAAUUCGGCCUGGCUUCGUCACCAACUGGUUAAAGUCCUGCAUGCUUUGCUGUAGUGGUCUGGGUUUGUGGGUUCGGAUCUUGGGCACAGACCUACUCCACUCACCAGCCACACUGUGGAGGUGUUCCACAUCUAAAAAACUAGAGGAGGGUUUGCACAGAUGUUAGCUCAGGGCUAAUCUUCCUUGAGGAGGGAGUGGAGGCACCAUAACACAGGGCAAUAAUGCCGUAUCUGGGAAGAGAUUUACCUUCCUGCCAUAAACAACAAGAAAUUUGAAAAUACCACUUUUACAUACAGAGAAACAGGUAGUACAGGAAUAUAAUCCUUAAGAACAUUACAUUUUCUGGACGAUGGUGUAGGGAGGGGAUCACAACAGGAUAUGUGUUCUCACUCAGUGAAUGAGACAAAAGAAAAAGAGUUUGGGAAAGAAUGCUGGAGAUGGGGAAGGUAUGUAGAUAAAGAGUCCCAGAAAGCUAUAAACUGUCUUCUGGAAUCUUCAGCUCAAUAUUAACCAGCGCUCGUGUAAACUGAAACUCCAAGUGGGAUAUAUGAGUGCAGCAAGCCAGUCCUCCCCCAGCCUACACCAAGCUCUCAACUCUGCCAGAAGGAAAGUCUCCCUCCUGAUCUGCAAUGCUCUUAGUAAGCUUCACCAUGCAAACUGUGCCAGAAGUCAUGAGUCCAGGAGCCAGAGCUGCACGGCACACUUGGGUCUGAAGAGUUUCCUGUAUCACAGUAGUUUUUACCAGGGGUUGAUCUUGCCUCCCAGAGCACAUUUGCAAUGUCUAGAGACAUUUUGAUUGUCAUGACUGGAAAGUUGCUAUUCAUCUAAGGGGUAGGGGCCAGGGAUGCUGCUAAACAUCCUACAAUGCACAGGACAGCUCACAGUGAAGAUAAUAUGUUGGUGUUGCCAAAGUUGAGAACUCAGGUCUGCUCUACCAGAAUGCAGAAGGAAGUAUAACGAACAAUCUUUCAAGCCAUGAGAAGACAGAAGCAGUCUUGUUGCUUUCAAUGUUUGAUCUCAAUUCUCUAUCUGCAGUGCCUCUUGGAGCCUGGUAACUGAAGACACUCUAAAAUCUAUGUCUCUAUAGAAUGAGAGACUGCCAAUAAAUGAGAGAGUGCGUGAAUGCUAAUAAACAAAUAUUCCGUUUUAAGUAUUCUUUCUUGAAGUCUAUUGCCAGUGGGAGGAUUCUGGUGAGGACCAGGCAGAAUUAAGAGUGGGAGUGGUGGUGAGAGGUGAAGAAAAGAAGGAAAUUUGGUUAGAAAUAAUAUUUCCUUUUUUUAUUUUUUAUUUUUUACUUAUUUUGGUAAAGCAAAUG